GAUGAACGCUGGCGGCGUGCCUAAUACAUGCAAGUCGAGCGAACAGACGAGGAGCUUGCUCCUUUGACGUUAGCGGCGGACGGGUGAGUAACACGUAGGUAACCAACUUAUAAGACGGGGAUAAUUUCGGGAAACCGGAGCAAAUACCGGAGAAUAUUUCGAACGGCAGGGUUCGAUGGUGAAAGAUGGCUUGCCCAUCACUUAUAGAUGGACCUGCGCCGUAUUAGCUAGUUGGCAAGGUAACGGCUAACCAAGGCAACGAUCCGUAGCCGACCUGAGAGGGUGAUCGGCCACACUGGAACUGAGACACGGUCCAGACUCCUACGGGAGGCAGCAGUAGGGAAUCUUCCGCAAUGGGCGAAAGCCUGACGGAGCAACGCCGCGUGAGUGAUGAAGGUCUUCGGAUCGUAAAACUCUGUUAUUAGGGAAGAACAACCGUGUAAGUAACUGUGCACGUCUUGACGGUACCUAAUCAGAAAGCCACGGCUAACUACGUG
Molecule: ribosomal RNA, 497 nt
Filed under: uncultured bacterium
Lineage: Bacteria
Description: partial 16S ribosomal RNA
Rfam family: Bacterial small subunit ribosomal RNA
Source: RNAcentral